RNAcentral lists this ribosomal RNA (253 nucleotides) under uncultured bacterium. Its description in RNAcentral is "partial 16S ribosomal RNA". It matches the Rfam family "Bacterial small subunit ribosomal RNA", at positions 524 to 776 of the family's 1533-position model. The record is from RNAcentral.
UACAGGGGGUGCAAGCGUUGCUCGGAAUUACUGGGCGUAAAGCGUGCGCAGGCGGUUUUGCAAGUCGGGGGUGAAAACCCGGGGCUCAACCCCGGAAUUGCCUCCGAAACUGCAAGACUUGAGUACGAGAGAGGGUCGCGGAAUUCUUGGUGUAGAGGUGAAAUUCGUAGAUAUCAGGAAGAACACCAGUGGCGAAAGCGGCGACCUGGCUCGAUACUGACGCUCAUGCACGAAAGCGUGGGGAGCAAACAGG